This 705-nucleotide ribosomal RNA is filed under the name Xylomelum pyriforme. RNAcentral's name for it is "eukaryotic LSU rRNA". The stretch from base 272 to 427 matches the Rfam family "5.8S ribosomal RNA". Lineage: Eukaryota; Viridiplantae; Streptophyta; Magnoliopsida; Proteales; Proteaceae. The record is from RNAcentral.
GUAGGUGAACCUGCGGAAGGAUCAUUGUCGAUGCCUGCCCAACAGAGAGACCCGCGAACACGUUGUGCCAUCGUCCGGGGGCGGGGGGCGCGGGGGCGCAUGCCCCCUCCUCCCCGACCCCCGCAAGGGUCGGGCCGCGGAUGCCCGCGGCGUCCGGCCCGAAACAAAACCACCGGCGCGGUCGGCGCCAAGGAACUCACAACGGAAUGGGCGUGCCACCGCUGUGCCCCCGGUGCGGUGCGUGUCCGUCUCGAAUCCGAAACUCACUAACGACUCUCGGCAACGGAUAUCUCGGCUCUCGCAUCGAUGAAGAACGUAGCGAAAUGCGAUACUUGGUGUGAAUUGCAGAAUCCCGUGAACCAUCGAGUCUUUGAACGCAAGUUGCGCCCCAGGCCGUCAGGCCGAGGGCACGCCUGCCUGGGCGUCACGUAUCGUGCCGUCCCCCCCUCCGUCGUCCCCAGCGGCGACGGAGCGCGGAUCGGAGAUUGGUCCCCCGUGCCUCCGCCGCGAGGCGCGGUCGGCCUAAAUGCAAUCGGUCCCCCGUGUGGCGAGCGUCACGACGAGCGGUGGUCGUAGCCACCCUGCCGUCAGUCCGGACGCCGUGCGCGCUCACCCGCCGGGGCCUCGGCAGCAAACCCGAUCGCGUGCCGUCGCGAGACGGCACCUUCGACCGCGACCCCAGGUCAGGCGGGGCUACCCGCUGAG